This 397-nucleotide ribosomal RNA is filed under the name uncultured bacterium. RNAcentral's name for it is "bacterial SSU rRNA". It matches the Rfam family "Bacterial small subunit ribosomal RNA", at positions 361 to 775 of the family's 1533-position model. The record is from RNAcentral.
AUUUUGCGCAAUGGGGGAAACCCUGACGCAGCAACGCCGCGUGCGGGACGACGGCCUUCGGGUUGUAAACCGCUUUCAGCAGGGAAGAACAACGACGGUACCUGCAGAAGAAGCUCCGGCUAACUACGUGCCAGCAGCCGCGGUAAUACGUAGGGAGCGAGCGUUAUCCGGAUUCAUUGGGCGUAAAGAGCGCGUAGGCGGCCUCUCAAGCGGGAUCUCUAAUCCGAGGGCUCAACCCCCGGCCGGAUCCCGAACUGGGAGGCUCGAGUUCGGUAGAGGCAGGCGGAAUUCCCGGUGUAGCGGUGGAAUGCGCAGAUAUCGGGAAGAACACCGAUGGCGAAGGCAGCCUGCUGGGCCGAAACUGACGCUGAGGCGCGAAAGCUAGGGGAGCGAACAG